Molecule: ribosomal RNA, 469 nt
Filed under: uncultured bacterium
Lineage: Bacteria
Description: partial 16S ribosomal RNA
Rfam family: Bacterial small subunit ribosomal RNA
Source: RNAcentral
GACGAACGCUGGCGGCGUGCUUAACACAUGCAAGUCGAACGGAAAGGCCCUGCUUGCAGGGUGCUCGAGUGGCGAACGGGUGAGUAACACGUGGGUGAUCUGCCCCUUACUUUGGGAUAAGCCUGGGAAACUGGGUCUAGUACUGGAUAGGACCAUGCUGUAGGUGGUGUGGUGGAAAGAUUAGUUUCGGUAAGGGAUGAGCUCGCGGCCUAUCAGCUUGUUGGUGGGGUAAUGGCCUACCAAGGCGUCGACGGGUAGCCGGCCUGAGAGGGUGGACGGCCACAUUGGGACUGAGAUACGGCCCAGACUCCUACGGGAGGCAGCAGUGGGGAAUAUUGCACAAUGGGCGCAAGCCUGAUGCAGCGACGCCGCGUGGGGGAUGACGGCCUUCGGGUUGUAAACUCCUUUCAGCCAUGACGAAGCCCUUGUGGUGACAGUAGUGGUAGAAGAAGCACCGGCUAACUACGUG